This 57-nucleotide transfer RNA is filed under the name Austinixa behreae. RNAcentral describes it as "tRNA-Leu". The record is from RNAcentral. Lineage: Eukaryota; Metazoa; Arthropoda; Malacostraca; Decapoda; Pinnotheridae.
GUGUAGGAUUUAGGUUCCUAUAAGAUAGAGUAAUCUAUAAAUAACUAAGUAUCUAAU